RNAcentral lists this ribosomal RNA (255 nucleotides) under uncultured bacterium. Its description in RNAcentral is "partial 16S ribosomal RNA". It matches the Rfam family "Bacterial small subunit ribosomal RNA", at positions 526 to 779 of the family's 1533-position model. The record is from RNAcentral.
CGUAGGUGGCAAGCGUUGUCCGGAAUUAUUGGGCGUAAAGGGCGCGUAGGCGGUCCCUUAAGUCAGAUGUGAAAUCCCGAGGUCUUAACCUCGGGCGUGCAUUUGAAACUGGGGGACUAGAGUGCAGGAGAGGUAAGUGGAAUUCCUAGUGUAGCGGUGAAAUGCGUAGAUAUUAGGAGGAACACCAGUGGCGAAGGCGACUUACUGGACUGUAACUGACGCUGAGGCGCGAAAGCGUGGGGAGCAAACAGGAUU